Long non-coding RNA from Sciurus carolinensis (gray squirrel), 459 nucleotides. RefSeq lists it as uncharacterized. NCBI's taxonomy places the organism in Eukaryota, Metazoa, Chordata, Mammalia, Rodentia, Sciuridae. The record is from RefSeq and is a predicted model, not a curated record. The transcript has 3 exons.
UCAACUCCAUUGGGAGCCUUAGGGAUGCACAAAAGAUUCAAAGAGGCCAACGCUGCUUCAAGAGGACUUCAGUAAGUCCAAACGACCCGAUUUUAAAGACCAAUGAAGGCAAAGGGAGAGAGAGUGACGGCGCCCGGAAAGUUUCCGUAGAAACUUGAAAAAAAAGAAAACCAUCAGGCCUCAGGAAGAUUGGACUCUGGAGAGCUCUUGGCAUGACACUCUCGAUUGUUAUACGCUUGUUCUGCCCUUUAAUUUCAAUGGAGAAAACAAGGAGACUAAUUUAACACCGAAAAACUGCCCUUAAAGUCACUGAUUAGAAAGGAGGGUGCUUUGUGCAGUAGCCAGCUCGGAUUUCAUCUUGAGGGCAACACCUCAUUCAACCCUCAUGAUAAACUCAGCCGUGGAGACUCAGCAUCACCACUUGGAUAGCUGAAGAAAUAGAGGUUCAGAAGACUGAGG